This 488-nucleotide ribosomal RNA is filed under the name uncultured bacterium. RNAcentral's name for it is "partial 16S ribosomal RNA". It matches the Rfam family "Bacterial small subunit ribosomal RNA", at positions 30 to 523 of the family's 1533-position model. The record is from RNAcentral.
AUUGAACGCUGGCGGCAGGCCUAACACAUGCAAGUCGAGCGGGGUUUUCGGACCUAGCGGCGGACGGGUGAGUAAUGCGUAGGAAGCUACCCGAUAGAGGGGGAUACCAGUUGGAAACGACUGUUAAUACCGCAUAAUGUCUACGGACCAAAGUGUGGGACCUUCGGGCCACAUGCUAUCGGAUGCGCCGACGUGGGAUUAGCUAGUUGGUGAGGUAAUGGCUCACCAAGGCGACGAUCUCUAGCUGGUUUGAGAGGAUGAUCAGCCACACUGGAACUGAGACACGGUCCAGACUCCUACGGGAGGCAGCAGUGGGGAAUAUUGGACAAUGGGCGCAAGCCUGAUCCAGCCAUGCCGCGUGUGUGAAGAAGGCCUUCGGGUUGUAAAGCACUUUCAGCGAGGAGGAAGAGUUGUGUGUUAAUAGUACACAGCUUUGACGUUACUCGCAGAAGAAGCACCGGCUAACUCUGUGCCAGCCGCCGCAGUAA